UCUACGUGUAGUACCCUCUCCUUUCAUAUCUAAUUUUAAUCAUUUGUCUUAUUCGAAAUUCGUUUAUAAUUAGUAUUUUUAUUACUAUAAAAUGAUAAAACAUGAAUAAUAAUUUAUGCGUGACUUAUGUUUUUAAUUUUUUCAAAAAGUUUUCAAAUAAGACGGACGAUCAAAGUUAAGUACGGAAAAUUAUGGCUACACUUAAA
Oryza glumipatula is the source of this 206-nucleotide non-coding RNA. The record is from Rfam. NCBI's taxonomy places the organism in Eukaryota, Viridiplantae, Streptophyta, Magnoliopsida, Poales, Poaceae.